This 429-nucleotide ribosomal RNA is filed under the name uncultured bacterium. RNAcentral's name for it is "bacterial SSU rRNA". It matches the Rfam family "Bacterial small subunit ribosomal RNA", at positions 29 to 506 of the family's 1533-position model. The record is from RNAcentral.
GCGAACGCUGGCGGCAGGCUUAACACAUGCAAGUCGAGCGCCCCGCAAGGGGAGCGGCAGACGGGUGAGUAACACGUGGGAACGUGCCUUUUGGUUCGGAACAACCCAGGGAAACUUUGGCUAAUACCGGAUAAGCCCUUACGGGGAAAGAUUUAUCGCCAAAAGAUGGGACCGCGUCUGAUUAGCUAGUUGGUGGGGUAAUGGCCCACCAAGGCUACGAUCAGUAGCUGGUCUGAGAGGAUGAUCAGCCACAUUGGGACUGAGACACGGCCCAAACUCCUACGGGAGGCAGCAGUGGGGAAUAUUGGACAAUGGGGGCAACCCUGAUCCAGCCAUGCCGCGUGAGUGAUGAAGGCCUUAGGGUUGUAAAGCUCUUUUAGCAGGGAAGAUAAUGACGGUACCUGCAGAAAAAGCCCCGGCUAACUUCGU